UUAUUAGGUUAUAAUAAGACUAUGUUUGUUACACUAAUUGUUUGUUAAAAAUGGGCAGACGAUGACUUGGCCAAAGACCUCAUCAUACAUCUUACAGUUCACAGGUGUUAGGAUGUGAUUUAAGCAAGGGCCUUGUGGAAGCGAAGACAGCAAGCAUGUUUAAUUCACUAAUGAUCCUUCCGCAGGUUCACCCACGGAAA
RNAcentral lists this unclassified non-coding RNA (200 nucleotides) under uncultured fungus. RNAcentral's name for it is "sequence contains ITS1". The record is from RNAcentral. Lineage: Eukaryota; Fungi.